UCGGGAAUUUUGGGCAAUGGGGGAAACCCUGACCCAGCAACGCCGCGUGAAGGAUGAAGUAUUUCGGUAUGUAAACUUCGAAAGAAUAGGAAGAAUAAAUGACGGUACUAUUUAUAAGGUCCGGCUAACUACGUGCCAGCAGCCGCGGUAAUACGUAGGGACCAAGCGUUGUUCGGAUUUACUGGGCGUAAAGGGCGCGUAGGCGGCAUGACAAGUCACUUGUGAAAUCUCUGGGCUUAACCCAGAACGGCCAAGUGAUACUGUCGCGCUAGAGUGCAGAAGGGGCAAUCGGAAUUCUUGGUGUAGCGGUGAAAUGCGUAGAUAUCAAGAGGAACACCGAUGGCGAAGGCAGCCCCCUGGGUUAACACUGACGCUCAUGCACGAAAGCGUGGGGAGCAAACAGGAUUAGAUACCCAAGUAGUCCCUGAGCGGGCUGGCAAGGCGCAU
RNAcentral lists this ribosomal RNA (447 nucleotides) under uncultured bacterium. RNAcentral describes it as "bacterial SSU rRNA". It matches the Rfam family "Bacterial small subunit ribosomal RNA", at positions 355 to 825 of the family's 1533-position model. The record is from RNAcentral.